CCCUUAGAUGUUCUGGGCCGCACGCGUGCUACACUGAGUGGAUCAGCGGGUCAGGUUGCGCGAAAGUGUUUCCUAAUCUUGAAAUCCGCUCGUGAUGGGGAUUGACGGUUGCAAUUUUCCGUCAUGAACGAGGAAUACCUUGUAAGCGCGGGUCAUCAUCCCGCGCUGAAUACGUCCCUGCCCUUUGUACACACCGCCCGCCGCUCCUACCGAUUGAGUGGUCCGGUGAGGCUUUGGGAUCUGAGCAAAAAGAGCGUUUCGCUCGUUUGGCUCGGAAAACUCAGUCGAACCUUAUCAUUUAGAGGAAGGAGAAGUCGUAACA
RNAcentral lists this ribosomal RNA (322 nucleotides) under uncultured eukaryote. Its description in RNAcentral is "partial 18S ribosomal RNA". It matches the Rfam family "Eukaryotic small subunit ribosomal RNA", at positions 1470 to 1796 of the family's 1831-position model. The record is from RNAcentral.